GGUUUCCUAUGGGAGGCAGCAGUGAGGAAUAUUGGUCAAUGGUCGGGAGACUGAACCAGCCAAGCCGCGUGAGGGAUGAAGGUACAGAGUAUCGUAAACCUCUUUUGUCAGGGAACAAAGGCGGGGACGCGUCCCCGGAUGAGUGUACCUGAAGAAAAAGCAUCGGCUAACUCCGUGCCAGCAGCCGCGGUAAUACGGAGGAUGCGAGCGUUAUCCGGAUUUAUUGGGUUUAAAGGGUGCGCAGGCGGUCUGUUAAGUCAGCGGUCAAAGCCCGGGGCUCAACCCCGGUCCGCCGUUUAAACUGG
This 305-nucleotide ribosomal RNA is filed under the name uncultured bacterium. RNAcentral's name for it is "bacterial SSU rRNA". It matches the Rfam family "Bacterial small subunit ribosomal RNA", at positions 333 to 636 of the family's 1533-position model. The record is from RNAcentral.